Molecule: long non-coding RNA, 4243 nt
Filed under: Homo sapiens (human)
Lineage: Eukaryota; Metazoa; Chordata; Mammalia; Primates; Hominidae
Description: HSALNT0203435
Source: RNAcentral
CUCAUGUACCUGCUCUGUUUCCUUUUCUCUCCCUCUAUCAUUUAUUCUAGCUACCCAGAAAUUGCCCCUGGGCUGACAUAAGCAUUUACUGGUCAAAAGUUGUUCUUAAGCUACUUUACCUCAUUAGAUUUUUACUCUUCACUAGUGCAUGUUUGUGUGGCUUGAAGGCCACACAAACAGCUCUGGAAGUUGCUUUUUUGCCCCCCAUUUCCCUAUAAAUAGAGGUUUGGAUGUUUGUUCUAUGAUCACUUCUAAACUUGCAUAGUCUUGGGAAUGCACACAGUCUUCCAGACUGUAGGUGAUAGGUGUAAUUUAGUUUUUAUUCUCACUUAAUAGAAUUCCUCCUGCUGAUAGCAGAAGACAGACAAAUUCCCAGGCAGAAAGGGGCAGGUGCCCCGUGAAACUCGACUUUCAAGCCAACGACAGUCUGAAGUCUGAAAACUGGGCUGCCAGUUCUGGUUGCAGUCUGCGACCCGGAGUGAGAACUUCCUUGAUGUCUUUUAGCCAAUUGAAUGGUGCUUUUUCCAGGCCUGCCCAUGGACCAAUCAGCAUGCACUCCCCCAUUCUGAACCCAUAAAAACCCCAGACUCGGUGUCACUUAGGGACUUUCUUCCUUCGCCUCGGGGUAUGGGCAACCCAUCUUGGGUCCCUUCUCCUGUCGAGAGCUGUUCUGUGGCUCAGUAAGACUCUUCUCUACCUUGCUCACUCUCCAGUUGUCAUGUAACACCAUUCUUCUUGGAUGCAGGACAAGAACCCGGAACCAUAGGUGCGAACACAGCUGUAACACUGUAGCCCUUCCACGUGACAGGAAGCAGUGGUAAGGCCAGGCCAGCCCAGGAGCCAUGGACCUGAGUGGGGCGGUGGGACCAAAUGAGCUGUAACACAAACCAGCUAAAACACAUUCCUGGCCUGCCCGCCGAGCUGCCGGCAGUGACACCCUCCUAUUUGCCAGACUUGGAGAGAAGAGCUGUGACCCUUCUGGGCACCCAAAUCUUGGGACUCCCCGAGCCAGAGAUACGAAACGGCGUUAACACCUCUUGGGGCUCCACGGUUGCUGGUCUCUCUUAAUCUUCGGACACCAGUGCAUUCCUCUAGUCCAGACAGCGGCGCCCAAGGCAGAAGCCGCUGGAGGCACAGUUGGUCCAGCUACAGUCUCUCUCGCUUGGAGCUUGUGCCUGUGCCUGUGCCAGUGCCUGGAGCUGCCCGCCCCACCGCAGAAGCCAGUGCACCUGGCUGUGAGCAGUGGCAGGACCCUGUGCUCCCUCGCUUACACAUCCCUCAUCGCUCCAUGCUGAGCUCACCCGCGGGGAAGCGUGGGAUCUGGGCUGGUAGCAUGAACCAAGCACAGCCUGCCAGGCUGAGUGGGUGGAGCUAGCCCAGCUGUCGUGAGCAAAACUCAAGCAGAGGUGCCAGUGGCCAAAGAGGCUUCCAUCUGGUGAAGUGGCACUGAAAGAAUCCUGUGUAGCUGGGUUAGUGCAGCUUAUUUUUCACUCAGUGUUUUGUCAAAGGUUGCAUUUAAGUGCCUUGUAUUAGAUUUCCACCUUAUGUUGAUGGGUCUGUGUGUAGAUUCGUGAAUGCUUUCAACACUGUCCCGUAUCUUUCUAUACUUACUCCUGAGUGGGUGCAGCCUAGAGCAUGUGAAUGGUCUUUCUGAAACACAGAGUCAAUUUGGAUCUCAGGGAGGCUUUUUAGGCUGUCUUUUUUUUUUCCUGGUUCUAUUAAAUAUCUGACUGUUUUGCCAUUUUGCAGGUAUGUUGGAGCUACUAGCCUCCUCUUAAACACUCGCCACUAAGAUCUCAAUCAUUUUUGACAAUUCUUUAGGCAGGUAGUUUUCCAUACUCUGUUCCAAAUAAAUCCAGUCUCCUUGGGCAGAACUGCUAACUUUUCCAUUGUUCAUUUCGUUUGAUUUGUAAAUUCAGAUUUGAAAACAUUGAAAUUAAAGACAAUAAUGAUUUCUAAGUAGAGAUUAAUCCCUUUACUACCAGAAACCUUUCCCCAAAUACAUGUCCUGGAGCACAUGUAAGGAAAGUUCCCUAAUACAGACUAACCAGUAAGGCUUGCCUUAUAUUAAUAAUUAAAUAUAAUUAUUUAAUAUUAUAGAUGCAAAUUUAUUUAAUCCUGGUUCGCUUACACAAGUGUUGCUUCAGAAACAUUGGACUUUAUCAGUUUUCUGAUGUUUCUCCUUUGAAUUUGAAACUGACCCAAUAGUCCCAUAGACUGUUCUUUUGGAUAAACAUAGGAAUUGACCUUUCUGUUCUUAAAGCUUGAAAUUGGCAUUUGUUUUAUCUGAGUUCCUUCCUCAAUAAAGAACCUUCAGUCCUCUAAAAAAAAAAAAAGUAGCAAAGAAUUGAAACUCACCAGAUCACCACAUCCAGAUAACGAGACUUUAGACCCCUCACUCAUCAUGAUUGCUUCCUUGCCCCUUCCUAGUUCCUGUUUUCUUAUACAGUGUUACAUUUCUCCCCUGCUAUAUAAACCCCUGGUUUUAGUGGUUCAGGGAGAUGGAUUUGAGAUUGCGCUCCCAUCUCUAGCUGCAGCACCCGAUUAAGGCCUUCUUACUUGGCAAUACUUGAUUGGAUUUCUGUGUGGUAAGCAGCAGGGCCUAGACUAAACCUCUGGUGUUUUGGUAACAAAUUCAGUUGUUAUAUAGUAAGUGAUCCAUUAGAAAUUAAUAUUCUUAACACACAUUUCUUUGGGAUUAAGCUUUAUCAGAAUACAUUUCUUUCAUUCAAACUUUAUAAGUAAUUUUUCAGCUAAAAAAUCCACAAAUUACAACGUGUUCAAAUAGGUGCCAAUCUUCAGAAGAGAUAAACAUGCUCAUUAGUACAUAUCUCAAUAAAUAAUUAGGGAUUGAUCCUUGAAAUAUGAUUAUACUUAUAUGUACCUCUCCCAUUCAAUCUAUUAGCAAAUUCUAUCCACACAGAAUAUAGCUCAAAUCAGUCUACUUUCCUUCAUCCCAGUUUCCUCCACCUAAUUCUAAGCCAGUGUCAGUUCUAUCCUUGAAACUAGAGUCUCUUUCCACCCUUACUUAGCACCAAUAAAACCUUCACUCAGUAGUCAGAGGGAACUUUUUAAAAUAAAAAUAGAAUCCAAAGAAAUUGAAAUCAAUAUAUCACAGUGAUACCUGCGUGUCCAUGGUCAUUGCAGCAUUAUUUACAAUAGUCAAAAUAUGAAAUCAAAAUGCAUGUUCAACAAUAGACAAAUGGAUUAAAAAAUGUGUUUUAUAAACCUGAUGGAAGGUUUAUAAAGUUAUAAGUUUAUAAAGUUAUUUAUAAGUUAUUUAUAAAGUUUAUAAGGUUAUUCAGCCUUAAAAAGGAAAGAAAUUAUGUCAUUUUUGACAACGUGGAUGAAUCUGGAGAACAUUAUGUUAAGUGAAAUAAGUCAGGCAUAGAAAGACAAAUACAACAUGAUCUUACUUAUAUAUGGAGCCUUAAACAAUCAAACUCAUAGAAGUAGAGUAAAAUGUUGGUUACCAGAGGCUGGAGGCAGGAGAAGAAAUGGGAAAAGGUUUGUCAAACGGUACAAAGUUUCAGUUAGUCAGGAAGAAUACGUUUUUAAGAUCUAUUGCACAACAUGGUGACUAUAUUAAUAAUGCAUUGUAUAUUCAAAAUUGCUAAGAGAUUAAAUGUCAAAUGUCUCACCACAAAAAAUAAGUGAAGUGAUGUAUAUGCUAAUUAGCCUUAUUUAAUCAUUCCAGGUUGUAUCACAUUGUAUCCCACAAAUACAUGCAAUUAUUCUUUGUCAAUUAAAAUGCCAUCCUGUUUUGUUAUUUUUUCUAUUGAGUGUUUUGUAUUCUUUUACUUUAUUUUACUAAUGUGUUCAAUAGUCAUAUGAUAGAAAUAAAGUCAGGGCUCAUCAGAUAAAGAAACAUUUUCAGGUGGAUUAAUUAUCAAAAUUUAUACAUGAAAACCUGUAUUUAAAAGUAUAAAAUAUAGAAACAAACAUAUACAAAUAUAGAUACAGAAAUGUAUUACAUGUAUUUAGAUAUAUAUACACAUACAUAAAUAUAUACAUUCAAUUCUGUAUUUUAUGUUACAUCUCAUGUUUAGGAAGAAACACCUUUCUAGUACUAAAACAUUUUCGUCAUAAGCAACUAGAACUUCAUGUUAUCACAACAUGUAAUGUUCCCUCUUUGUCCACCCCCACUCCCAAUUUUCUUACCUUACCUAUAGAGUAUUAUGUGUACAUAUUUAUAUAAAUGUUUUUGUGCACUGAAUAUAUUGUUUUACCAUUUACUUUUUAG